This 170-nucleotide ribosomal RNA is filed under the name Salmonella enterica subsp. enterica serovar Enteritidis. RNAcentral's name for it is "partial 23S ribosomal RNA". It matches the Rfam family "Bacterial large subunit ribosomal RNA", at positions 2773 to 2925 of the family's 2925-position model. Lineage: Bacteria; Pseudomonadati; Pseudomonadota; Gammaproteobacteria; Enterobacterales; Enterobacteriaceae. The record is from RNAcentral.
GAAAGCAUCUAAGCACGAAACUUGCCCCGAGAUGAGUUCUCCCUGAGACUUAGAGUCUCCUGAAGGAACGUUGAAGACGACGACGUUGAUAGGCCGGGUGUGUAAGCGCAGCGAUGCGUUGAGCUAACCGGUACUAAUGAACCGUGAGGCUUAACCUUACAACGCCGAAG